UCUCUCUGAGGCCAUUUUCAAUCGUGUGUGGAACCAAUUUGAAGAAAAGGAUAUCGUUGGGAGAGGGGGUGGCGCAGCAAUGUUGCCAGGAGGAAGAUGGCUCCAUCCAUGAGCUGGUCGAGCUCCGGUGUCCUCAUGUCAGGCUUGGCUUGGAGUGCUGACAACGAAGCAUUCUACAUGUUGAUGGUGUCUUCAGCCAUGGCCUUGACCCUUGAGGGGGAGAACGUUGUCGGUGGACCAGACCUGCAAGCAAACCAUCUAUCCGACCAGAACGGGGAAGCUGCAGCCGACUCCAGAGAGGAUGGUGACCACGGCAUAGAGCCAUAGAGGUUGUGGCAGAGCUUGAUCCCGACGCCGACCAUCUGCUUGGCGAGGCAGGGCAGCCUGUUCUGUAAGAAUAUGACGAGUUUGUGAUGGUUUGGUAAGAUGACGAAGAUUCAGAGGGUGAAGAAGAAGUGGCAAGCCACAAGCGUCCCCGCCUGUGCUAGACACUAAAUCAAGUCAAUGGACCAGUUGGCUAGAACUAGAAAUUAAGUGCGUAUAUUUUGUGUUUAUGCCUCUGUGUAUUUUGCUGGAAGCUUAGUGUGUCCAUUGAUGGGAGGAA
Molecule: long non-coding RNA, 604 nt
Organism: Triticum dicoccoides
Lineage: Eukaryota; Viridiplantae; Streptophyta; Magnoliopsida; Poales; Poaceae
Exons: 2
Source: RefSeq, a predicted model, not a curated record